RNAcentral lists this ribosomal RNA (772 nucleotides) under uncultured Bacteroidota bacterium. RNAcentral's name for it is "bacterial SSU rRNA". It matches the Rfam family "Bacterial small subunit ribosomal RNA", at positions 80 to 853 of the family's 1533-position model. The record is from RNAcentral. Lineage: Bacteria; Pseudomonadati; Bacteroidota.
UAAGACUGAUGGCGACCGGCGCACGGGUGCGUAACGCGUAUGCAACUUGCCUCACAGAGGGGGAUAACCCGUCGAAAGACGGACUAAUACCGCGUACACUUGGGAUAGGGCAUCCUACCCCAAGGAAAUGAAAUUCGCUGUGAGAUAGGCAUGCGUCCCAUUAGCUUGUUGGUGAGGUAACGGCUCACCAAGGCGACGAUGGGUAGGGGAACUGAGAGGUUGAACCCCCACACUGGUACUGAGACACGGACCAGACUCCUACGGGAGGCGGCAGUGAGGAAUAUCGGUCAAUGGGCGAGAGCCUGAACCAGCCAAGUCGCGUGAAGGAUGACUGUCUUAUGGAUUGUAAACUUCUUUUAUACGGGAAUAACAAGAGCCACGUGUGGCUCCCUGCAUGUACCGUAUGAAUAAGCAUCGGCUAACUCCGUGCCAGCAGCCGCGGUAAUACGGAGGAUGCGAGCGUUAUCCGGAUUUAUUGGGUUUAAAGGGUGCGUAGGCGGCCUGUUAAGUCAGCGGUGAAAUCUAGGAGCUUAACUCCUAAAUUGCCAUUGAAACUGGCGGGCUUGAGUGUAGAUGAGGUAGGCGGAAUGCGUGGUGUAGCGGUGGAAUGCAUAGAUAUCACGCAGAACUCCAAUUGCGAAGGCAGCUUACUAAGGUACAACUGACGCUGAAGCACGAAAGCGUGGGUAUCAAACAGGAUUAGAUACCCUGGUAGUCCACGCAGUAAACGAUGAUAACUGGGCGUAUGCGAUAUACAGUAUGCUCCUAAGCG